RNAcentral lists this ribosomal RNA (601 nucleotides) under uncultured fungus. RNAcentral describes it as "eukaryotic LSU rRNA". The stretch from base 226 to 379 matches the Rfam family "5.8S ribosomal RNA". Lineage: Eukaryota; Fungi. The record is from RNAcentral.
AGUCGUAACAAGGUUUCCGUAGGUGAACCUGCGGAAGGAUCAUUAAAGAGUAAGGGUGCUCAGCGCCCGACCUCCAACCCUUUGUUGUUAAAACUACCUUGUUGCUUUGGCGGGACCGCUCGGUCUCGAGCCGCUGGGGAUUCGUCCCAGGCGAGCGCCCGCCAGAGUUAAACCAAACUCUUGUUAUUAAACCGGUCGUCUGAGUUAAAAUUUUGAAUAAAUCAAAACUUUCAACAACGGAUCUCUUGGUUCUCGCAUCGAUGAAGAACGCAGCGAAAUGCGAUAAGUAAUGUGAAUUGCAGAAUUCAGUGAAUCAUCGAAUCUUUGAACGCACAUUGCGCCCCUUGGUAUUCCGAGGGGCAUGCCUGUUCGAGCGUCAUUACACCACUCAAGCUAUGCUUGGUAUUGGGUGCCGUCCUUAGUUGGGCGCGCCUUAAAGACCUCGGCGAGGCCUCACCGGCUUUAGGCGUAGUAGAAUUUAUUCGAACGUCUGUCAAAGGAGAGGACUUCUGCCGACUGAAACCUUUUAUUUUUCUAGGUUGACCUCGGAUCAGGUAGGGAUACCCGCUGAACUUAAGCAUAUCAAUAAGCGUAAAAGUCG